CCUACGGGGGGCAGCAGUGGGGAAUAUUGCACAAUGGGGGAAACCCUGAUGCAGCGACGCCGCGUGAGUGAAGAAGUAUUUCGGUAUGUAAAGCUCUAUCAGCAGGGAAGAAAAAAGACGGUACCUGACUAAGAAGCCCCGGCUAACUACGUGCCAGCAGCCGCGGUAAUACGUAGGGGGCAAGCGUUAUCCGGAUUUACUGGGUGUAAAGGGAGCGUAGACGGUAUGGCAAGUCUGAAGUGAAAGCCCAGGGCUUAACCCUGGGACUGCUUUGGAAACUGUGCGGCUGGAGUGCAGGAGGGGUAAGCGGAAUUCCUAGUGUAGCGGUGAAAUGCGUAGAUAUUAGGAGGAACACCGGUGGCGAAGGCGGCUUACUGGACUGUAACUGACGUUGAGGCUCGAAAGCGUGGGGAGCAAACAGGAUUAGAUACCCUUGUAGUC
RNAcentral lists this ribosomal RNA (441 nucleotides) under uncultured bacterium. RNAcentral's name for it is "partial 16S ribosomal RNA". It matches the Rfam family "Bacterial small subunit ribosomal RNA", at positions 338 to 795 of the family's 1533-position model. The record is from RNAcentral.